This 239-nucleotide non-coding RNA is filed under the name Prosthecochloris sp. GSB1. Lineage: Bacteria; Pseudomonadati; Chlorobiota; Chlorobiia; Chlorobiales; Chlorobiaceae. RNAcentral also lists the same sequence under 1 other name. The record is from RNAcentral.
GUUCUUUCACAGAUAGCCGGUGCCGGUUUAAAAGCCGGAGAAUAGGGAAGUACGUGAGAUUCGUACACUGUGCCCGCAACUGUAACGCGGUUUACUGUUUCGUGCCGUGCAUGGCCACAUGCGCAGAACGGACAGGCGUUGCCGAUCACUGCGAUUUUUCCUCCCGGAAAAGCGUGGGAAGAACGGUGACAGACGUAUGCCGCCAAAGUCAGGAGACCUGCCAGCUAUGCUAUUGCACU